UCUGACUCAUCUGAAACUUCUGGUGCUGUCACUUCUCACUAAUAUCAACAAUUUCACUAACCUUAGUUUGGAGACCUAAAGUACCUCACAUGGCUGGUACCGCCGUUGCUGAGAGCGAACAAAGCCCUCUCGGUGAAGUCGCGUCUCUUCUCUGUUUUGGCGCCUCAGUGGUGGAAUGAACUCCAGAUGAUUGUCAAGACAGCACAGUCACUCUCCACUUCCACAAAAGACUCAAGACUCAUUUGUUCAGACUUCACCUCGACCCGUCAGAGCACGACUCCUUGCACCGCUUUUGAAGCUGCUUUUGGAUUUACAUCAUGUACUUAAUACUGUCCUGUAGUUCCCUUACUGCAUUUAUGAUAGCUAUUUGUUCCAGCUCCGCACACAGUGAGAGAUGUAAUACAGUCAGUUUGUCAAAGUGCUAGUUCUACAAUGUUGAGAAGUACUUAACUUGAAAAGCCUUGAUAUAUAAUGCAUUUAUUCAUUAGAAUGAACUAUAAAGGCUGUGAGUUGUUAACAACAACAUACAUUAAUCUAAAAUGAGACAUUGUGAUUGAUACAGAUUACAGAGUUUGGUCCAUCCAGCAUUUCAGCCAUUUAGAGCAUUCACUUCUCAUAUGAUAUGGCAUACAGCACGGCGGUGGGGAGUGAAUCAGGGUUCAGUAUCUCCCCGACGGACACCUAAAUGGGGAACAUUAUGUCUGCUGUGAUCAAACCAAGAGCCUUUCAGUGACAAGAUACUCUCUUGGACUAUUACACCAUCCUCCUUUGUCAACAGUGCUCUCCUCUCUGUGACAGUGUGAAGAAAAAACAAACCCAACAAGGCAGACCUGUUUUAUUAUCCUCACUUUGAGCCUUUUCUCAAUUCCCCCAGCAUGGGUACAAACAACAUUUCAUCCUUCAGAUGUGUGAAUCUUUUCUUUCAUGUCCAGCAUCC
This is a long non-coding RNA of Acanthopagrus latus (yellowfin seabream), 937 nucleotides long. RefSeq lists it as uncharacterized. Lineage: Eukaryota; Metazoa; Chordata; Actinopteri; Spariformes; Sparidae. The record is from RefSeq and is a predicted model, not a curated record. The transcript is spliced from 2 exons.